Molecule: ribosomal RNA, 681 nt
Filed under: Arthrobacter agilis
Lineage: Bacteria; Bacillati; Actinomycetota; Actinomycetes; Micrococcales; Micrococcaceae
Description: bacterial SSU rRNA
Rfam family: Bacterial small subunit ribosomal RNA
Source: RNAcentral
GAUGCAGCGACGCCGCGUGAGGGAUGAAGGCUUUCGGGUUGUAAACCUCUUUCAGUAGGGAAGAAGCCGGCCUUGGGUUGGUGACGGUACCUGCAGAAGAAGCGCCGGCUAACUACGUGCCAGCAGCCGCGGUAAUACGUAGGGCGCAAGCGUUAUCCGGAAUUAUUGGGCGUAAAGAGCUCGUAGGCGGUUUGUCGCGUCUGCCGUGAAAGUCCGGGGCUUAACCCCGGAUCUGCGGUGGGUACGGGCAGACUAGAGUGCAGUAGGGGAGACUGGAAUUCCUGGUGUAGCGGUGAAAUGCGCAGAUAUCAGGAGGAACACCGAUGGCGAAGGCAGGUCUCUGGGCUGUAACUGACGCUGAGGAGCGAAAGCAUGGGGAGCGAACAGGAUUAGAUACCCUGGUAGUCCAUGCCGUAAACGUUGGGCACUAGGUGUGGGGGACAUUCCACGUUUUCCGCGCCGUAGCUAACGCAUUAAGUGCCCCGCCUGGGGAGUACGGCCGCAAGGCUAAAACUCAAAGGAAUUGACGGGGGCCCGCACAAGCGGCGGAGCAUGCGGAUUAAUUCGAUGCAACGCGAAGAACCUUACCAAGGCUUGACAUGAACCGGAAUGAUGCAGAGAUGUGUCAGCCARCUUGUGGCCGGUUUAUCUAGGUGGUGCAUGGUGUCGUCAGCUCGUGUC